UUUAACAGACAUCACAUCGAGCAAAACCUUCAAUCAUCAUCAGUAAAUAAUUAUAUUUUUUAACAGACACCACAUCGAGCAAAAUCAUCAACCAUCAUCAUCAUCAUUAUUUACGGCAAGUUACGAGCAAGGAAAACAUCAAAAAAACGACACCACAUCAUCAAUCUCCCUUGCCCCCGAAGUGUUCGCUGAUUCAACCAUAUUUCGCAUCGGUAAAUUCGUCUUAUUGUUCGCUGUCAACUCUACACUGGGACAAUAUCGUAACUUGUGUCCUCCCCCACAAGCCCAACACUCCACUCUCCUUCUUGUGUUAUAUGGUGCUAUCCUGUGAACCCCUCUCGUUGGCGUCUCUUGUAGCCAAUCUCCAUAUCUUUGUUUUGCUUCGUUCCUAGCGGCUUCUACCCAUCUGUUGGACUCUUCUGAACCGUCAACCUCUCGGAUCUCUAUCUUCAUUAUUUUGUUACCCACUCUAACAUAGGAGGCCAUCUAAAUCAAAUACUUUAUACACAUAUAUAUAUAUAUUCUUCGACUUUCUUCUCUAACUCUUUAUAAAAUAUAACUCUCCUAAUUAAGUCUAACAUCCCUUUUAUUUCCUACAACGUAUGAUUCUCCUACUACGUCUAUCAUCACGUUAUUCCUUUCCAAAUUAUGAUUCUCCUACUAUGUCUAUCAUCAAUUUAUUCCUUUCUAAAUUAUGAUUCUCCUACUAUGUCUAUCAUCAAUUUAUUCCUUUCUAAAUUAUGAUUCUCCUACU
Molecule: long non-coding RNA, 754 nt
Organism: Gordionus sp. m RMFG-2023
Lineage: Eukaryota; Metazoa; Nematomorpha; Gordioida; Chordodea; Parachordodidae
Exons: 3
Source: RefSeq, a predicted model, not a curated record